GAUGAACGCUGGCGGCGUGCCUAAUACAUGCAAGUCGAGCGAACGGACGAGAAGCUUGCUUCUCUGAUGUUAGCGGCGGACGGGUGAGUAACACGUGGAUGACCUACCUAUAAGACUGGGAUAACUUCGGGAAACCGGAGCUAAUACCGGAUGAUAUUUUGAACCGCAUGGUUCAAAAGUGAAAGACGGUCUUGCUGUCACUUAUAGAUGGAUCCGCGCUGCAUUAGCUAGUUGGUAAGGUAACGGCUUACCAAGGCAACGAUGCAUAGCCGACCUGAGAGGGUGAUCGGCCACACUGGAACUGAGACACGGUCCAGACUCCUACGGGAGGCAGCAGUAGGGAAUCUUCCGCAAUGGACGAAAGCCUGACGGAGCAACGCCGCGUGAGUGAUGAAGGUCUUCGGAUCGUAAAACUCUGUUAUUAGGGAAGAACAUAUGUGUAAGUAACUGUGCACAUCUUGACGGUACCUAAUCAGAAAGCCACGGCUAACUACGUG
This 497-nucleotide ribosomal RNA is filed under the name uncultured bacterium. Its description in RNAcentral is "partial 16S ribosomal RNA". It matches the Rfam family "Bacterial small subunit ribosomal RNA", at positions 28 to 507 of the family's 1533-position model. The record is from RNAcentral.